AGAAAGGUGGCCGAGUGGUCGAAGGCGCACGCCUGGAAAGUGUGUAUACGGCAACGUAUCGAGGGUUCGAAUCCCUUCCUUUCUGC
Molecule: transfer RNA, 86 nt
Filed under: Polaribacter sp. SA4-10
Lineage: Bacteria; Pseudomonadati; Bacteroidota; Flavobacteriia; Flavobacteriales; Flavobacteriaceae
Description: tRNA-Ser(gga)
Rfam family: tRNA
About the family: Transfer RNA (tRNA) molecules are approximately 80 nucleotides in length.
Source: RNAcentral